RNAcentral lists this ribosomal RNA (110 nucleotides) under Ochotona princeps (American pika). Lineage: Eukaryota; Metazoa; Chordata; Mammalia; Lagomorpha; Ochotonidae. The record is from RNAcentral.
UAUAGCCACACCACCCUGAAUGUGCCCAGUCUCUUAUGAUCUUAGAAGUUAAGCAGGGUUGGGCCUGUUUAGUUCUUGGCUGGGAGAAAUGCACUUAGGUGUGACUGUAC